This 319-nucleotide long non-coding RNA is filed under the name Ananas comosus (pineapple). RNAcentral's name for it is "long non-coding RNA (ACOM_LNC005416)". The record is from RNAcentral. Lineage: Eukaryota; Viridiplantae; Streptophyta; Magnoliopsida; Poales; Bromeliaceae.
UAUACUUGGGUGAGCUUGUAAUAUACCGAACUUCUAAAGUUAUGAAGUUACGGAGUAAGUUAGUUUGGAAAGCCGUUAGAAUAGUUCCGGUGAAGUUCGGGAGCAUUCGGGUGUGUUCGGUGCGCGUUAGGUGCGAAAACAGAAACCGAAAGGCUAUGUUGGACCGUGGAUUAAAUCCGGCAUAAGCGUGGAUGAAAAGAUGGUUUAAACGCGCUCGAAAACAUGUAUUGGGGGUCUCUGUACGAUUAGAGAUGAAUUGGAGGCCCUACGAGUAAAAACGAGCGAAAAUGGACCAAAAGUUGAAAAAGGAUGAAAUUUG